This 213-nucleotide ribosomal RNA is filed under the name Proteus mirabilis. RNAcentral's name for it is "partial 23S ribosomal RNA". It matches the Rfam family "Bacterial large subunit ribosomal RNA", at positions 2717 to 2925 of the family's 2925-position model. The record is from RNAcentral. Lineage: Bacteria; Pseudomonadati; Pseudomonadota; Gammaproteobacteria; Enterobacterales; Morganellaceae.
CGGGUUGUCAUGCCAAUGGCAUUGCCCGGUAGCUAAGUGCGGAAGAGAUAACCGCUGAAAGCAUCUAAGCGGGAAACUUGCCUCGAGAUGAGUCUUCCCUGUCGCUUUAAGUGACCUAAAGGAACGUUUAAGACUAAGACGUUGAUAGGCUGGGUGUGUAAGCGUAGCGAUACGUUGAGCUAACCAGUACUAAUGAACCGUGAGGCUUAACCU